Molecule: long non-coding RNA, 935 nt
Filed under: Daphnia pulicaria
Lineage: Eukaryota; Metazoa; Arthropoda; Branchiopoda; Diplostraca; Daphniidae
Description: uncharacterized LOC124319963, transcript variant X1
Source: RNAcentral
AUGGCGAACAUUAUCCGAGUCUGUCAAUUGUCAACUCAACACUUUGUUUGGGUUUUAUUUCACUAGACGAAGUUGUUUUUAUUAUUAACUGAUCGAGGAGAUGGUGUUCUGUUGGAUGAGUGGAUUCCACCUCUCUUCUGUCUUGCCAAAGGUUUGGUGGCCUUUUUGGACCCCCUUUUCCUAUCCCGCCUUGGUUCAACUUCUCAGCGGAUGGAGCAACCUGUAGAUGGGUGCCUGGCCGUACUUCCCAGGCUUAAAGGUUCCCACUUUCGAAAUGGCACACUACAUUGAGCAAGGUGAGCUUGACUAACUUUAGAUAACAAUCAGUUGUGUUUUUUUUUCUUCCCGUCAGGCAUUUAUUCCUUUCCCCAUUUCUGGAAAACCAGUCACAUUCCAAUCUGAACGCUGCCAAUUUCCAAUGCUGUUUUCCUAUUGUAAAGCCAGCUAGUGGGCAACGAUUCCUUCCCAGUAAUGUUUUCAUAGCAGGAACGGCAGGUGCUGCAUACCUCCCCAGGUCCCCAUUUGAGUUGUUGUGUGUUUCGACACACACACACCCAGCAUUUGAGAAAGCCACAGGCAGCCCCUCUAUUCCCACACAGCAGCAGCAGAAGACACACUUGUUGCCAUUGUUUUGCCUUUUUUUCACCGUCACACAUUUUUUGAAAAACGGAAAAAGACGGUCGUGAAUUGACGCAGCGGUUACGAAAGGAAAAACACACCUUAAUGACUCAAGUUUAAAAGGGCGUGAUGUGAUGGGGAGGAGGAUAAAGGAGUGGUGUGGGGGGGACAAAAGAAAUGGUAAAUGUGUCAUUUUUGGGGCGUUUGUUGUACAACACACGCGGGCACAGAAGAAACUGUACGGGACGCGCAUGUCCGUUUUUUGUAUGGAACAAAAAAUCCAGCACCGAAAUGUUGGUGGGGGGGAGGAAGAAGCA